This 248-nucleotide ribosomal RNA is filed under the name uncultured Veillonellaceae bacterium. Its description in RNAcentral is "partial 16S ribosomal RNA". It matches the Rfam family "Bacterial small subunit ribosomal RNA", at positions 796 to 1041 of the family's 1533-position model. The record is from RNAcentral. Lineage: Bacteria; Bacillati; Bacillota; Negativicutes; Veillonellales; Veillonellaceae.
CUAGCCGUAAACGAUGGGUACUAGGUGUAGGUGGUUUCGAUACCAUCUGUGCCGGAGUUAACGCAAUAAGUACCCCGCCUGGGGAGUACGUGCGCAAGCAUGAAACUCAAAGGAAUUGACGGGGGCCCGCACAAGCGGUGGAGCAUGUGGUUUAAUUCGAUGCAACGCGAAGAACCUUACCAGGGCUUGACAUCUACCUGGCGGUCUUUGGAAACAGAGGCUUUCCUUCGGGACGGGUAGACAGGUGG